Molecule: long non-coding RNA, 579 nt
Organism: Etheostoma spectabile (orangethroat darter)
Lineage: Eukaryota; Metazoa; Chordata; Actinopteri; Perciformes; Percidae
Exons: 2
Source: RefSeq, a predicted model, not a curated record
GUGGAUUUCUUUGAUGUUUUUAUUAGAAAACUAAUGUGCAGACAGCCACAUCUGCGGCUGCAGCUGGCCCAGCUCCGUCCACUGCUGCUGUACCCUCUGCUGGUCGAGUGCAGCCCAAGUUAACCCUUGAAAUGUUAUUCAAACCAAACGGUUUGGUGGCUCCCUGAGGCCCAACCUCAGUAUGGCCAGGAAACUUUCUCAGGUAUGAUUCCACAUAUUGGUGAAUUAAUGUGGUAGCCAUUUUCUAAUGUUGUAUAACCCAAGUAUAAUAAUGCAUUUUAUAAGUUUGCACUCUCUUCUUCUUAAAAUGCUCAUAUUAUUCUUUUAGGCUUUUUCCAUCUCCUUUAUUGUUAUAUAUGUUUUUGUACACGUUAUAGGUUUACAAAGUGAAAAAGCCCAAAGUCUACCUCCAACAGAAAACACUCUUCACAAACUGCUCCUAACAGCUCUAUUAUAGUCCAGCCUUUAGUUCUGUGACAAACGUGCAUCACUUUGUAACACAUGUUAUAAUGCUCACCUAGCUUCUAGCAUGGCACACCCUCAUAGUCUGCUUCUGACUGGCUAGUAGUCCUUAUCUAG